UACCCAUUUCCCAGAGCUCAGUCAUUUACUCAAAUAAUGCUCCACUGUGUAUGGACACAGUUAGGUUGGAGGACAAGAGCUCUUGGCAAAAUGAUGAAGAAACAACCGUUUUCUAUAACACCUCCUGCAAACCUCCCCGUAGGUCUCCGAUGUGCACACACAUAUCGGAUAUGUGCACACACAUAUCGGUCAUACACAUAGACAAGCCUACCUGUGCCGUCUUAGGCAAUGAACCAGCAUAGUGCCCUAUGACUGCUCACCUGUUCACUUUGUGAACAGGUACAGGUACCUGUUCAUUUUGCAGGCAGUGUAACGCUUUGGAUUUUCUUUAUUCUUAUCAAACUAUUUAUGUCCCACUUCCCUUGUUGGCAGUUUUCUAGUUAAACCAGGGAAUUAAUUCCAACGUGUUAAUGCUAUACUUCUCAAUCUCGAAGUAGAAACACAUUGAUGAAGGAAGUGGAGAGGAGAUGAAGCAUAAUAUGGCGAAUACUGGAAACCUAGUCCUCUUCCACCUUUAUAACGGAAAGGAAAAUGAAUAUACCUAAGGAUCUAGCUGAUGAUCUGGAUGAUAAAACUUGAGAAAAUGUCCCAGGAAACAAAA
RNAcentral lists this long non-coding RNA (601 nucleotides) under Homo sapiens (human). Its description in RNAcentral is "HSALNT0305300". Lineage: Eukaryota; Metazoa; Chordata; Mammalia; Primates; Hominidae. The record is from RNAcentral.